RNAcentral lists this transfer-messenger RNA (392 nucleotides) under Salinivirgaceae. RNAcentral describes it as "JAAYQU01 sp012519055 Standard tmRNA". It matches the Rfam family "transfer-messenger RNA". Rfam says of the family: Bacterial tmRNA, also known as 10Sa RNA or SsrA, is named for its dual tRNA and mRNA-like properties. Its role is to liberate the mRNA from a stalled ribosome. To accomplish this part of the tmRNA is used as a reading frame that ends in a translation stop signal. The record is from RNAcentral. RNAcentral also lists the same sequence under 2 other names. Lineage: Bacteria; Pseudomonadati; Bacteroidota; Bacteroidia; Bacteroidales.
GGGGCCGACUUGGUUUUGACAGCAUGAUGUGUGGGGUUGUAAGCAUGCGGGGAUUGACUACUCCUGCAAAAAAGGGUCAACAACAAUUAAAUGGCGAAAAUAAUUUUGCUCUCGCUGCCUAAUACGAUUUAGUCGAUUAGCUUAAUCGCUGGCUCAAGGAGCUGCGACGAGACAUCUCACGGAGGUUUUUCCUCUUGCCGUCCGAGCAUGGGGUGCAGGAAGUUGAGGAUAGUAUAGCGUUUGCUCCGAAUGUUAUGCGAAAAUUUAGGAGCUAAGGCUGAUAUUGGAUGCCACUCUCCGGUAGCUGCCCUACAAUCAACGAAUGGCUAAGCAUGUAGAAAGCAAUCUGGCCGCUUGUCUGGACGCGGGUUCGACUCCCGCCGGCUCCACUA